GACGAACGCUGGCGGCGUGCCUAACACAUGCAAGUCGAACGGAAAGGCCCUGCUUUUGUGGGGUGCUCGAGUGGCGAACGGGUGAGUAACACGUGAGUAACCUGCCCUUGACUUUGGGAUAACUUCAGGAAACUGGGGCUAAUACCGGAUAGGAGCUCCUGCUGCAUGGUGGGGGUUGGAAAGUUUCGGCGGUUGGGGAUGGACUCGCGGCUUAUCAGCUAGUUGGUGGGGUAGUGGCUUACCAAGGCUUUGGCGGGUAGCCGGCCUGAGAGGGUGACCGGGCACAUGGGGACUAGGGGAGGGCGCAGAGGGGAAUGGUGGGCAGCGGGGGAAAGUUUUACACAGUGGGCGGAAGCGGGAGACGACGGCGCCGGGGGCGGAAUGCCGGCUUUCGGGGAAAAAACCGCUUCAGGUUGUGACGAAGCGGGUGUGACGGUACCGGAUAAAGAAGCACCGGCUAACUACGUG
RNAcentral lists this ribosomal RNA (468 nucleotides) under uncultured bacterium. Its description in RNAcentral is "partial 16S ribosomal RNA". It matches the Rfam family "Bacterial small subunit ribosomal RNA", at positions 28 to 507 of the family's 1533-position model. The record is from RNAcentral.